UACGGAGGGUGCAAGCGUUGUCCGGAAUCACUGGGCGUCAAGGGCGCGUAGGCGGCUCGGUAAGUAGGGGGUGAAAUCCUGCGGCUUAACCGCAGGGCUGCCUUCUAAACUGUCGAGCUUGAGCACGGUAGAGGCAGAUGGAAUUCCCGGUGUAGCGGUGGAAUGCGUAGAGAUCGGGAAGAACAUCAGUGGCGAAGGCGGUCUGCUGGGCCGUUGCUGACGCUGAGGCGCGACAGCGUGGGGAGCAAACAGG
This 253-nucleotide ribosomal RNA is filed under the name uncultured bacterium. Its description in RNAcentral is "partial 16S ribosomal RNA". It matches the Rfam family "Bacterial small subunit ribosomal RNA", at positions 524 to 776 of the family's 1533-position model. The record is from RNAcentral.